Molecule: long non-coding RNA, 3602 nt
Filed under: Sus scrofa (pig)
Lineage: Eukaryota; Metazoa; Chordata; Mammalia; Artiodactyla; Suidae
Description: lncRNA (ENSSSCG00050051602.1)
Source: RNAcentral
CACGUGAUUUCAAAAGGAUCAUGGUGUCCUCAUGCCAACACCGGAUCCCAGAUCAAGGCCCCCUGCUAUAGAGGCUGCGAGCCUCAGUGGUACCCCAGACUGGCUAAAUAUCAGGGUCCUUCUAGUCCUCAGGUUCUCCAAUUCAUGCUUUCUGCUUACAUUCUAUGAAUAUGUCUAGAAGUGAGAGGCAGCUUUGUCCCAGUGCUUAUGCUCUAGCAGGGCGGUGGGCACAUGGCUGUGAAACAUGAGCACCUACCAGGUGAGUGGUGAGCUAGGCGGGAGCAGGAGGAACUGGGGAGGGACAGUCUCCCCUGGGAGUGUUCUGCUGUCCUUGCUGCCACUGUUCUCCUCCACCCCCCGACCUUCCCAUUUCUCUCUCUCCACCCGAGAAGAACAUAACCUGCUUCUUUAAAUUACAAUUUCAUGGAGUUCCCUGGUGACCUAGCAGUUCAGGACUUGGCAUUGUCCCUACUGUGGCUCAGGUUACUGCUGGAAUCAUGUUUUGUAUGCCCUGAUGAGUGGGCCUCCAGGAGGCCAUGGUGCCCUUGGGGAUCUUGAGUGGUAGGCUGCCACCUCUGUCACCGUCGACCCUGCUACCUCCUUGGCCCACAGGUCAGCCUUGGACCUUGAAAACAGAAGCCGAGCUGGAGUCUGACUACAACUGGGGAAACCCUUGGUCCAGGAGUGGCUUUGCUUUCCCAGAAGCCACCUCCGACCUUUACAACUGGCUCUUUCCUUCUGUCCCUGAGCCUAGCCUACAUCCACCUCUGCUUGUGUGUAUCGGGUGUGUGUGGUGCAUGUGCGUGUGUGUGUUUGGCCCCAGAGGCUGGAGCCCCAGAUAGAUCCUAGGGAUAGAAGAAGUGCAGAUCUCCUUGGAGGAGGGGUGGAGUCAUUUGUGAAAUGAAUGGUUUCUUGUCCCAAAGAGAGGAGUGUGGGGUGUAUGUGUGUGUGCGUGUGUGUGCAUGCACGUGUCUGUGCGUGUGUAUGGAGGGUGUACGGGUGUGGCUUUUGGGGAUAAGAAAGCAGUUGUUCAGCUGAUGAAAGAACCCCCACAGAGCUAGGGACUAAGGCCAGAGGGUUCCUCCUCCAGCGCUGUCUCAUGCCGGGGGCAGCAGGACUCAGCAUUUGCUUCUUCCAGACCUCCUAGGACACUGCCCUUCCCUGCAGUGCUGCUCCCGCCUCUGUCUGCUGUCCCUUCUGUCUUCUUGCACCUGUCUCUUCUGCCUGUAGGCUGCCCUUGGAUGCUUCUGCCCACCUGCCCUGACUCCUGCCUAACCCCUCCCACUGUGCCCUCUUUUUGUCCGGGGGGAACACAGCUUGUCAAGCUGAGUCAGCCCUGGAAAUCUUUACCUCUGUGUCCCAGAUCUCUCAGCAGAACCACCAACCCCAGGGCCCAAAACUUUCAUGCAGCCCAGAGAAGCUGGUGCCUCAUCUUGCCAGGACCAAGGGGCUUGGAAGUAUGACGUUGCAGGGCCUCAGUGCCAAGGAGAAUGGUCCACACCUAGUGUUUUCCUCCAGCUCCCCUUCUUGUCAAGGAAGCCGAGCUUUGAAGGCUGAGUGGGGCCUGAAAUACAAGAGGCUGAUAGAUCUGGGUGUGAAUCUUCUGUCAGUCAUGUGCUGACUGUGUUACCUUGGGCAAGUUACUCAGCCUCUCUGAGCCUCAGUUUCUAGUUCUAUACUCUAGGACCAAUAAUGCCCAUCCAAAUAGUGUUCCUGCCAGGUAUAAGAGACUGAGAAAGGGAAAGGAUCCAGUCAAGUAUCUGAUCCAAGUAGGAUCAGAAGAAACUUUAGUGUCUUCCCGUCUAACUUUCUCCAAUAGCCAAGCCAGAACCUUGGAGAAGUUCCAGCAAUGGACAGGAAUCCGAUGCUUUGUUCCCCACAUGUGGCAUGAGGAUCCCACGCUUCCUGCUAGCUGCUGGGGUCGCUGACGCAGGGAGGAAGGAGGGGUGGUCUCUUCCCCCAGGCUGGUGAUUUGGGCCUAGAUGGCCCAGAGCCACACGCUAGCGGGGCUGCCCUCACCCACUGCCCAGAGCAGCUAAAUCCUGGGUGACAACACCCUCCAACUUAGUCCAUGGGAACUCGGAGACCCUGACCUAAAUCCUUCGAGGUGUGAGGGCAUCCAUACCCUCAUCUGUCAGGUGGAGCACCUUCCUGCCUGUGAUUAUCCGCAUGCCAGACGGUCAUGGGCGUAGGGAGCAGCAGAAACAUUCUGGUUCUUAGGACAAGGGAGGGUUGCAGAAUCUUUGCCUUUGGGGAUAGCCAGGCUUGUGAACAGAUGAGGGGCAUCACUGUGUAAAGAAAUUAGAGAGGGACUUCAGAGCUGCUACAGGCAAGGGCCAGGGAGCCACGGGGUGGUCCCCAUCACAGCCUAUAGCACAGGCCAAGGCCAAGAGGUCUCAGAGGCUGCUGAAGGGGGCUGGGGCCUUAGGAGCACCCGAACCCAUGCUUUUCACACCAUCCCUUGGAGCCCAGGUCUGAGCAAGAGGAAGGGAUGGGUUCAAGGCCACAGCACUAGAAUUUUAGAGCCAGGUCAAGAGCCAGGUUCUGGAGGGCUUUGGACCCACUGGACAUCCCCGGGGAGUGGACAGCAAGUGCAAAAUUGGAGGGAGAAGAGCCAAGGGGCGCAGGCUGGCUGUUGCAGAGUUAGAGGCUGACUGGUGAAGGGAAGCCCUGCCCAGCCUUGCCCUCCAGCUACAGAUGGCAGGCCUUGGGAGAGGUGGUACUCCCUUGAUUUAAGUGCCCUCUGGGUGCCAGGAUCCAGGGGUGUCUUUCAGUACCUAGGCGUCUGAAACUUAAAAAAGCAGGACUGCAGGGAUCAUCAAGUGUGCCCUUCUUCCCUGCUCCAUGUUCCAUUUUGCAUGUGGGAAACCCAAGAGGCCAGGCCCCAGUUCCACAGACAGAGGGGAGGGAGCUCUGUGUGUCCAGGUCUCUGCUCCAUCCAAUCCCCACAGGCCUUGGAAACCACGGCUGGGAGACCAACUCACCUUUCGCCUCCAUGGCUCGAGGAGCUCCUUGGGGUUUCAGAGAGGAAGCAGCUUGCUGCCCCACCCGCCCUUCCAGCCAGCCAGCAAGCAGGACUCCUGGCCUGUAGACCUGGCUCUGUGCCCUGGUCUGUGCCCCUGGGGCUCGCUGGGCCUCAGUUUCUCUAUUGUAGCUUUCGAGAGUGAGGUCGGUCGGCUGACUGCCCUGUCCUUUCAUCCUUUCGUGGUGUCGUCUUGAAUUGGGGGUGGGGGAAGGGAGCAGGAGCAGCCGUGGGGCCAGGCCAGAGCAGACUGAAUGGGGAGAGGCAGUGAGCUCUAGCCCUGCUUCUCAGACCUGCAGCUGCCUGUGUGACUCUCCUGAGGGACAAAGCUGUGACCCUCUGAGGUGGUGGUGGGAAUCAAGCUGUCAGGGUGAGGACAGGCUGCUCCGAGGCCUCUGGCGGUCCUGGGAUACCCACGGGCUGCUCAUGGGCAGGGGUGUGUGGCCACAAGACCUGGGAGAGGUUUUUCAGGGUGUAAUUAGUGCACUUUCUGGCACCCACCAAACUUCCCCUUCCUCUUGACAAUCUGCUGCCAAAACAGCCCUGAUUCCUGUAGACUUGCUUACAUCUUAUGCAGGGG